RNAcentral lists this ribosomal RNA (705 nucleotides) under uncultured Pseudomonadota bacterium. RNAcentral's name for it is "bacterial SSU rRNA". It matches the Rfam family "Bacterial small subunit ribosomal RNA", at positions 63 to 773 of the family's 1533-position model. Lineage: Bacteria; Pseudomonadati; Pseudomonadota. The record is from RNAcentral.
CGCGCGGGCGGUAGCAAUACCGUUAGCGGCGGACGGGUGAGGAACACAUAGGAAUUUGCCUUUAGGUGGGGGAUAGCCCAGGGAAACUUGGAGUAAUACCGCAUGAUGUCGCAAGACCAAAGCAGGGGAUCGCAAGAUCUUGCGCCUUUAGAGGAGCCUAUGUCUGAUUAGCUAGUUGGUAGGGUAAUGGCCUACCAAGGCGACGAUCAGUAACUGGUCUGAGAGGACGAUCAGUCACACUGGAACUGAGACACGGUCCAGACUCCUACGGGAGGCAGCAGUGGGGAAUAUUGGACAAUGGGCGCAAGCCUGAUCCAGCAAUGCCGCGUGUGUGAAGAAGGCCUUCGGGUUGUAAAGCACUUUAGGCCGGGAAGAAAAAAUCAGGGCUAAUAUCCUUGAUCUUGACGGUACCGGAAGAAUAAGCACCGGCUAACUCUGUGCCAGCAGCCGCGGUAAUACAGAGGGUGCGAGCGUUAAUCGGAUUUACUGGGCGUAAAGCGUGUGUAGGUGGUUGUUCAAGUCGGUUGUGAAAUCCCUGGGCUUAACCUGGGAACUGCUUCCGAGACUGAGCGACUAGAGUACGGUAGAGGGCGGUGGAAUUUCCGGUGUAGCGGUGAAAUGCGUAGAUAUCGGAAGGACACCAAUGGCGAAGGCAGCCGCCUGGGCCUGUACUGACACUGAGACACGAAAGCGUGGGGAUCAAAC